GGGCGAGUGGCGGAACUGGUAGACGCGCUAGACUCAAAAUCUGGUGACCUCUGGUCGUGAGGGUUCGAGUCCCUCCCCGCCCACCA
Molecule: transfer RNA, 86 nt
Filed under: Candidatus Saccharimonadota bacterium
Lineage: Bacteria; Candidatus Saccharimonadota
Description: tRNA-Leu
Rfam family: tRNA
About the family: Transfer RNA (tRNA) molecules are approximately 80 nucleotides in length.
Source: RNAcentral